RNAcentral lists this ribosomal RNA (903 nucleotides) under Latilactobacillus graminis. Its description in RNAcentral is "bacterial SSU rRNA". It matches the Rfam family "Bacterial small subunit ribosomal RNA", at positions 59 to 922 of the family's 1533-position model. Lineage: Bacteria; Bacillati; Bacillota; Bacilli; Lactobacillales; Lactobacillaceae. The record is from RNAcentral.
AAGUCGAACGCACUCUCGUUAGAUUGAAGAAGCUUGCUUCUGAUUGAUAACAUUUGAGUGAGUGGCGGACGGGUGAGUAACACGUGGGUAACCUGCCCUAAAGUGGGGGAUAACAUUUGGAAACAGAUGCUAAUACCGCAUAAAACCUAGCACCGCAUGGUGCAAGGUUGAAAGAUGGUUUCGGCUAUCACUUUAGGAUGGACCCGCGGUGCAUUAGUUAGUUGGUGAGGUAAAGGCUCACCAAGACCGUGAUGCAUAGCCGACCUGAGAGGGUAAUCGGCCACACUGGGACUGAGACACGGCCCAGACUCCUACGGGAGGCAGCAGUAGGGAAUCUUCCACAAUGGACGAAAGUCUGAUGGAGCAACGCCGCGUGAGUGAAGAAGGUUUUCGGAUCGUAAAACUCUGUUGUUGGAGAAGAACGUAUUUGAUAGUAACUGAUCAGGUAGUGACGGUAUCCAACCAGAAAGCCACGGCUAACUACGUGCCAGCAGCCGCGGUAAUACGUAGGUGGCAAGCGUUGUCCGGAUUUAUUGGGCGUAAAGCGAGCGCAGGCGGUUUCUUAAGUCUGAUGUGAAAGCCUUCGGCUCAACCGAAGAAGUGCAUCGGAAACUGGGAAACUUGAGUGCAGAAGAGGACAGUGGAACUCCAUGUGUAGCGGUGAAAUGCGUAGAUAUAUGGAAGAACACCAGUGGCGAAGGCGGCUGUCUGGUCUGUAACUGACGCUGAGGCUCGAAAGCAUGGGUAGCAAACAGGAUUAGAUACCCUGGUAGUCCAUGCCGUAAACGAUGAGUGCUAGGUGUUGGAGGGUUUCCGCCCUUCAGUGCCGCAGCUAACGCAUUAAGCACUCCGCCUGGGGAGUACGACCGCAAGGUUGAAACUCAAAGGAAUUGACGGGGGCCC